GAUUAUGGCUCAGGACGAACGCUGGCGGCGUGCCUAAUACAUGCAAGUCGAGCGAAUGACAAGGAGCUUGCUCCUUGAUUAGCGGCGGACGGGUGAGUAACACGUGGGUAACCUACCCUAUAGACUGGGAUAACUUCGGGAAACCGGAGCUAAUACCGGAUAAUACUUCGAAACACAUGUUUUGAAGUUGAAAGAUGGUUUCGGCUAUCACUAUAGGAUGGACCCGCGGCGCAUUAGCUAGUUGGUGGGGUAAUGGCUCACCAAGGCAACGAUGCGUAGCCGACCUGAGAGGGUGAUCGGCCACACUGGGACUGAGACACGGCCCAGACUCCUACGGGAGGCAGCAGUAGGGAAUCUUCCACAAUGGACGAAAGUCUGAUGGAGCAACGCCGCGUGAAGUGAAGAAGGAUUUCGGUUCGUAAAACUCUGUUGCAAGGGAAGAACAAGUAGCGUAGUAACUGGCGCUACCUUGACGGUACCUUGUUAGAAAGCCACGGCUAACUACGUGCCAGCAGCAGC
RNAcentral lists this ribosomal RNA (519 nucleotides) under uncultured bacterium. Its description in RNAcentral is "bacterial SSU rRNA". It matches the Rfam family "Bacterial small subunit ribosomal RNA", at positions 15 to 518 of the family's 1533-position model. The record is from RNAcentral.